GACGAACGCUGGCGGCGUGCUUAACACAUGCAAGUCGAACGGAAAGGCCCUGCUUGCUGGGUACUCGAGUGGCGAACGGGUGAGUAACACGUGGGUGAUCUGCCCUGCACUUCGGGAUAAGCCUGGGAAACUGGGUCUAAUACCGGAUAGGAGCCAUUUUUAGUGUGAUGGUUGGAAAGUUUUUUCGGUGUAGGAUGAGCUCGCGGCCUAUCAGCUUGUUGGUGGGGUAAUGGCCUACCAAGGCGGCGACGGGUAGCCGGCCUGAGAGGGUGGACGGCCACAUUGGGACUGAGAUACGGCCCAGACUCCGACGGGAGGCAGAAGUGGGGAAGAUUGCACAAUGGGCGCAAGCCUGAUGCAGCGACGCCGCGUGGGGGAUGACGGCCUUCGGGUUGUAAACUCCUUUCGCUAGGGACGAAGCUUUUUGUGACGGUACCUAGAUAAGAAGCACCGGCUAACUACGUG
This 465-nucleotide ribosomal RNA is filed under the name uncultured bacterium. RNAcentral's name for it is "partial 16S ribosomal RNA". It matches the Rfam family "Bacterial small subunit ribosomal RNA", at positions 28 to 507 of the family's 1533-position model. The record is from RNAcentral.